GAUGAACGCUAGCGAUAGGCCUAACACAUGCAAGUCGAGGGGCAUCACAUGAAGUAGCAAUACGGAUGGUGGCGACCGGCGCACGGGUGAGUAACACGUAUGCAACCUGCCUUCAACAAGGGGAUAACCCGUUGAAAGACGGACUAAUACCCUAUAACACAGGGGUCCCGCAUGGGAAUAUUUGUUAAAGGACAACCGGUUGAAGAUGGGCAUGCGUUCCAUUAGCUAGUUGGCGGGGUAACGGCCCACCAAGGCAACGAUGGAUAGGGGAACUGAGAGGUUUAUCCCCCAACUGGUACUGAGACACGGACCAGACUCCUACGGGAGGCAGCAGUGAGGAAUAUUGGUCAAUGGACGCAAGUCUGAACCAGCCACGUCGCGUGAAGGAAGACGGCCCUACGGGUUGUAAACUUCUUUUGUAAGGGAAUAAAGUGUAGUACGCGUACUAUUUUGCAUGUACCUUACGAAUAAGGAUCGGCUAACUCCGUG
RNAcentral lists this ribosomal RNA (489 nucleotides) under uncultured bacterium. RNAcentral describes it as "bacterial SSU rRNA". It matches the Rfam family "Bacterial small subunit ribosomal RNA", at positions 28 to 507 of the family's 1533-position model. The record is from RNAcentral.